This 429-nucleotide ribosomal RNA is filed under the name Acidobacteriota bacterium. RNAcentral's name for it is "Acidobacteria bacterium partial 16S ribosomal RNA". It matches the Rfam family "Bacterial small subunit ribosomal RNA", at positions 355 to 776 of the family's 1533-position model. The record is from RNAcentral. Lineage: Bacteria; Pseudomonadati; Acidobacteriota.
UGGGGAAUUUUUGACAAUGGGGGAAAACCUGAUCCAGCCAUCCCGCGUGUGCGAUGAAGGCCUUCGGGUUGUAAAGCACUUUUGGCAGGAAAGAAACGUCAUGGGUUAAUACCCCGUGAAACUGACGGUACCUGCAGAAUAAGCACCGGCUAAAUACGUGCCAGCAGCCGCGGUAAUACGUAGGGUGCAAGCGUUAAUCGGAAUUACUGGGCGUAAAGCGUGCGCAGGCGGUUCGGAAAGAAAGAUGUGAAAUCCCAGAGCUCAACUUUGGAACUGCAGUUUUAACUACCUGGCUAGAGUGUGUCAGAGGGAGGGGGAAUUCCGCGUGUAGCAGUGAAAUGCGUAGAUAUGCGGAGGAACACCGAUGGCGAAGGCAGCCUCCUGGGAUAACACUGACGCUCAUGCACGAAAGCGUGGGGAGCAAACAGG